RNAcentral lists this long non-coding RNA (489 nucleotides) under Falco tinnunculus (common kestrel). RNAcentral's name for it is "lncRNA (ENSFTIG00000013478.1)". Lineage: Eukaryota; Metazoa; Chordata; Aves; Falconiformes; Falconidae. The record is from RNAcentral.
CCGACCCGCCCCCUGGCUGCUACAGGCCGGCGCGCAGCGCACCCCGCUCGGCCGGCGCCACGCAUGCGCCUUAGGAGAGGGAGUAUUAAUUAUACAAAAAAGUCUGUUAAGAAGUCAAGGUCCAAGGAACCGGUAAAGACUGGGCAAUAGAAGAAGCUUCCUGCAACCUCCUAAUUGAUGUGGAUUCCUCCUGCAUGCUGCUGUUAAAGGUUAAGCUGAUUUAUUGUUCAGUUAUUUAUCUGCCUGGUUAACUGCUGGUGGCUGUGGCUCGUAAGUGAACAGAUUGCAGUUUCCAUAUUAGCUGAAUAAUGCUGAUGCAACGUGAUGUUUUGAGUGAGGAGUGAAGUUUCAGCACAAGACUUGGUCAUCACCUUGUAGCAUUACUCCUGUCGCGGAUUGAACCUUGCUCUUUGUCUCUGCUGGAAGUCAGGGUGGAUGUGAACUAAGACUGGCUGCCGAGCCACUGACUCUUCUCCAAGUAGAGAAAUU